Molecule: long non-coding RNA, 233 nt
Filed under: Mytilus galloprovincialis (Mediterranean mussel)
Lineage: Eukaryota; Metazoa; Mollusca; Bivalvia; Mytilida; Mytilidae
Source: RNAcentral
AACAAACCCGGGACACAGAAGUUCAAACAAUAGACUAUCAACUCUGAAAACUAAAAGUAAAAAAGAAACAUGGAUCACGAAAAACAUGCAGGUACGACACCAGAUAGUGAAGAGAACUUGCUUCUUGUUAGACACUUUCCGUGAAAACAAUUUGAUAUUAAGACAAUCUUUUUUUUUAAAUUUCUAACAUGAGGCAUUUGCCUCAUUUGCCUCAAUGUAGUUACGGCCCUGAA